AACGAACGCUGGCGGCAUGCCUAACACAUGCAAGUCGAACGAGAUCUUCGGGUCUAGUGGCGCACGGGUGCGUAACGCGUGGGAAUCUGCCCUUUGGUUCGGAAUAACAGUUGGAAACGACUGCUAAUACCGGAUGAUGACGAAAGUCCAAAGAUUUAUCGCCAGAGGAUGGGCCCGCGUAGGAUUAGCUAGUUGGUGUGGUAAAGGCGCACCAAGGCGACGAUCCUUAGCUGGUCUGAGAGGAUGAUCAGCCACACUGGGACUGAGACACGGCCCAGACUCCUACGGGAGGCAGCAGUGGGGAAUAUUGGGCAAUGGGCGAAAGCCUGAUCCAGCAAUGCCGCGUGAGUGAUGAAGGCCUUAGGGUUGUAAAGCUCUUUUACCCGGGAUGAUAAUGACAGUACCGGGAGAAUAAGCUCCGGCUAACUCCGUGCCAGCCGCCGCAGUAA
RNAcentral lists this ribosomal RNA (449 nucleotides) under uncultured bacterium. RNAcentral describes it as "partial 16S ribosomal RNA". It matches the Rfam family "Bacterial small subunit ribosomal RNA", at positions 29 to 523 of the family's 1533-position model. The record is from RNAcentral.